AUUGAACGCUGGCGGCAUGCCUUACACAUGCAAGUCGAACGGCAGCACGGGUGCUUGCACCUGGUGGCGAGUGGCGAACGGGUGAGUAAUACAUCGGAACGUACCUUAUCGUGGGGGAUAACGCAGCGAAAGCUGUGCUAAUACUGCAUACGCCCUGAGGGGGAAAGCGGGGGAUCGAAAGACCUCGCGCAAUUAGAGCGGCCGAUGCCUGAUUAGCUUGUUGGUGGGGUAAAAGCCCACCAAGGCGACGAUCAGUAGCUGGUCUGAGAGGACGAUCAGCCACACUGGGACUGAGACACGGCCCAGACUCCUACGGGAGGCAGCAGUGGGGAAUUUUGGACAAUGGGGGCAACCCUGAUCCAGCAAUGCCGCGUGAGUGAAGAAGGCCUUCGGGUUGUAAAGCUCUUUUGUCAGGGAAGAAACACCGGCUCUAACACAGUCCGGGAAUGACGGUACCUGAAGAAUAAGCACCGGCUAACUACGUGCCAGCCGCCGCAGUAA
Molecule: ribosomal RNA, 501 nt
Filed under: uncultured bacterium
Lineage: Bacteria
Description: partial 16S ribosomal RNA
Rfam family: Bacterial small subunit ribosomal RNA
Source: RNAcentral